AUGUACAUGGUUCGCGAUGCUCCUUCAUCCUCGCCUCAUGCCAUGCUCGCCUCCAUCACUCUCUGGCACCGCCGACUCGGUCACCCCCAACCUGCUACAACGACCACCCUUCUUCAGGAAUUUCGGCUCCCUCAUGAUCGGGGCGUCCAUGAUUCGUCUUUGUGUCAUGUAUGCCAAAUGGGCAAGCAUGUUAGGCUACCCUUUGGUGCAUCUACUACGCGUAGUUCUUUUCCUUUCGAAAUGUUGCAUUGUGAUCUCUGGACAUCACCUACUCCUAGCGUUUCUGGUUUUAAGUAUUACCUUGUACUUUUAGAUGACUACUCUCAUUAUGUAUGGACCUUUCCCAUUCGCUCAAAGUCAGAUGUUCAUAGUUUGUUUGUCAAAUUCCACCGAUAUGUCUCUGCUCACUUCUCUCUCCCUAUUCGGUUUCUUCAAUGCGAUAAUGGUCGUGAGUUUGAUAACACUCGCAAUCGUGAUUUCUUUCUACACCACAGCAUUCUUCUUCGUUUCUCCUGCCCAUAUACAUCACCGUAG
Molecule: ribosomal RNA, 534 nt
Filed under: Triticum aestivum (bread wheat)
Lineage: Eukaryota; Viridiplantae; Streptophyta; Magnoliopsida; Poales; Poaceae
Description: partial small subunit ribosomal RNA
Source: RNAcentral